UGGGCGAUAUCUUUGUGAAUCGCACCUGUAAGAUAUGUUCUUGGAUACUAAUUGAAUAAUUCUGCCUUGAUCACAUUGACAGGGACGGAGG
Molecule: non-coding RNA, 91 nt
Filed under: uncultured Sporosarcina sp.
Lineage: Bacteria; Bacillati; Bacillota; Bacilli; Caryophanales; Caryophanaceae
Description: pan motif
Rfam family: pan motif
Source: RNAcentral